Molecule: small nucleolar RNA, 142 nt
Filed under: Mola mola (ocean sunfish)
Lineage: Eukaryota; Metazoa; Chordata; Actinopteri; Tetraodontiformes; Molidae
Source: RNAcentral
CUUGCACACUGUUAGAGCCCGGCGCUGCCCUGUCUGUGUGGUGUGGGGCGUAGGAUGUGUGCUAAAAAAAAAUGCUUGGCCUCCCUAACUCACCCCCAUUUCUGAACCACAUGGGGAUUGGUGCAGAAGUCUUGCCACAAAA